CACUGAAUUAAAAAGCAUAAACUAAGUCAGUGUCCAUUUGGGGAAAUGGGCCUAGAAGCUCCCCCUCUGUCUGAGUGUCAAAUGAUCAAGUGACUGAGGAGCCAAAUCAAGCUUCUCUAUGCAGGAGCCCCCCAGGCAGGCAGAGAGCUGCUGCAGUGCAGCGUGUUGGCCAAGGCAGUUAUGUUUGCUGUGACUCUGUCCUUUCUGCUGUUUUUCUUACAUUCAAAGGAUGUGAAAUAUUGGAGGGAUAAAAAAAAUUCCCACCCCAUUCUUUUUUCCCCUUAGUAAAAACUGUGCUAGUUGUUGGAAGAUUGAGUCUACUCAGUUUCAUUAGCAGCAGCUUUGUAGGGACUGGGAAUGUCCUGUUGUCCCAGCCAGAGGGAGGAGGAGACUUGAGUGUGUGCAGCCCACGGUGAAGGAGUAAACCAGGAGCAGCACUAAUAGCUAAUGGGUAUUAAGUGGUUUUUUCUUUCCUUCUACCAAGCAUUGUUCCAAACUUUAUGAAAGAAUUCUUAUUGAUGUCUCCAUUUUCAGGUAAAGAGACAAAGAUAUCCUUGCCUAAAGUCAAGAGCUAGUGAAUGGGAGAAUGGGUCUGGUCUCCUAACCACUAACUCUACCAUGCUACUCUACCUCUUGAGUGCUAAGGUGCAAAACCUUCCCUGGGCCAGAGAAAUGGUCACCGUACAAAGCCUGGCACAGAGCAUGUGCUCAGAUAGUACCUGUUAUCAGGUGAAUGGAUAAAGAUCAGAAGAGAAGGGAAAGACAUGCCUUUCAAACAAAUUAAAAGAGUAGUGGAAAACAUCAAAGUGAAACCAAUAAUGCCUCCUCAGGAAGCUGACCGUCGGGAAGGAUGAAUAGCAAUUCAGUCUACAAAUAUUUCCUGAACACUUCUGGCUGGAAACCUUGGACCAAUUAAUGACUAUGCUGUAGACAGUACAUACAGACAGUGCUGGUUGCAGUCUGGGCAAGUGAGGCUCCUGCCUGGCCAGGACAGGAAGGCUGACCCAGAGGCUCAACUCUCUCUCAAAGGCUCUGUGACCUUAGGUUGCUUAACCUCUUAGGACCUCAGGCUCCUCACUGUCCACUGAGCACCCCUUUUGCCAUGGCAUCGUAUAGUUCUCCCUUUGAAGUUCUUAAGCAAUUCUGCCCUGAUAUAUCGUCUCAGGGAGCCAUUUAGUUCUGUCCAAAGUAGUGCCUGCAGAGGCACUGUGGGUUCCUCUGGCCUAUCUCUCCCUUUGUAGUCAUGAGGGUCCUGUGUGGCAAGUGGCCUGGGCUCACCCCAUGUACGGCAACAUCCUGGCAUCGUGCUCCUAUGACCGGAAAGUCAUUAUCUGGAGAGAGGAAAACGGCACCUGGGAGAAGAGCCACGAGCAUGCAGGACACGACUCCUCAGUGAACUCGGUGUGCUGGGCCCCCCAUGACUACGGCCUGAUCCUGGCCUGUGGGAGCUCGGAUGGGGCCAUCUCCCUGCUGACUUACACCGGGGAAGGCCAAUGGGAAGUAAAGAAGAUCAACAACGCUCACACCAUUGGCUGCAAUGCCGUCAGCUGGGCCCCUGCUGUUGUACCUGGAAGCCUCAUAGACCAGCCAUCGGGGCAGAAACCCAAUUACAUCAAGAGGUUUGCAUCAGGUGGCUGUGACAACCUCAUCAAGCUGUGGAAGGAGGAGGAGGACGGCCAGUGGAAGGAGGAGCAGAAGCUAGAAGCGCACAGUGACUGGGUUCGAGAUGUGGCCUGGGCCCCCUCCAUCGGCCUGCCCACCAGCACCAUCGCCAGCUGCUCCCAGGAUGGUCGUGUGUUCAUUUGGACCUGUGAUGAUGCCUCAAGCAAUACGUGGUCCCCUAAAUUGUUGCACAAGUUCAACGAUGUGGUGUGGCAUGUGAGCUGGUCCAUCACAGCCAACAUCCUGGCUGUCUCUGGUGGAGACAAUAAGGUGACCCUGUGGAAGGAGUCAGUUGAUGGGCAGUGGGUGUGCAUCAGUGAUGUCAACAAGGGCCAGGGCUCCGUAUCAGCGUCAGUGACAGAGGGCCAGCAGAAUGAGCAGUGACAAGACAGGUGGGGCCUGGCUCCCCACCCGCCAGCUCCAGGACUGCCCCUUCCUGGGCCAACUAACCAAACAACUGGGAAGAGCCCCCAACUCCAACAGGAUUAUUUUCCCAGGAGGAGUUACAGAUGCAGCCACAGAUUGAUCAUCUGCCUUAACAUGAUCGGAGAUGCUUUGUAAUCUACUGUCCAGCUGAAAGCACUCAUGUUACGAGGAAGAAACUACAAGUGAUGUUCAAAUCUAUUUUAAACUAUUUUGGGUCAUUUUUAUGUACCUUUGGGUUCAGGCAUUAUUUGGGGGGUUUUGUUUCCAAAGUAACUAAAUAAAGUCAUAUUGCUUAU
Molecule: small RNA, 2384 nt
Filed under: Pan troglodytes (chimpanzee)
Lineage: Eukaryota; Metazoa; Chordata; Mammalia; Primates; Hominidae
Description: retained intron
Source: RNAcentral